This 515-nucleotide ribosomal RNA is filed under the name uncultured bacterium. Its description in RNAcentral is "partial 16S ribosomal RNA". It matches the Rfam family "Bacterial small subunit ribosomal RNA", at positions 28 to 523 of the family's 1533-position model. The record is from RNAcentral.
GAUGAACGCUGGCGGCGUGCCUAAUACAUGCAAGUCGAGCGAAUGGAUUAAGAGCUUGCUCUUAUGAAGUUAGCGGCGGACGGGUGAGUAACACGUAGGUAACCUGCCCAUAAGACUGGGAUAACUCCGGGAAACCGGGGCUAAUACGGGAUAACAUUUUGAACCGCAGGGUUCGAAAUUGAAAGGCGGCUUCGGCUGUCACUUAUGGAUGGACCCGCGUCGCAUUAGCUAGUUGGUGAGGUAACGGCUCACAAAGGCAACGAUGCGUAGCCGACCUGAGAGGGUGAUCGGCCACACUGGGACUGAGACACGGCCCAGACUCCUACGGGAGGCAGCAGUAGGGAAUCUUCCGCAAUGGACGAAAGUCUGACGGAGCAACGCCGCGUGAGUGAUGAAGGCUUUCGGGUCGUAAAACUCUGUUGUUAGGGAAGAACAAGUGCUAGUUGAAUAAGCUGGCACCUUGACGGUACCUAACCAGAAAGCCACGGCUAACUACGUGCCAGCCGCCGCAGUAA